RNAcentral lists this non-coding RNA (774 nucleotides) under Olinga feredayi. The record is from RNAcentral. Lineage: Eukaryota; Metazoa; Arthropoda; Insecta; Trichoptera; Conoesucidae.
UUAAAGUUUUUUAGCUUUUAUAUUAAAUUAUGUUUAAUAUAUAUAUAAAUUAUUAAAAAUUUUAGAUAAAUUAAAAAUUUAUUUUUAAAGUUAUAAUAUAUAAAUUUAAAAAUUAAAGAAAUUUAGAUUUAGUAAAUUUAAAAAAAUUAAUAAAAUUUGUGCCAGCAAUUGCGGUUAUACAAAUAAUUUGUUAAUAUAUUUAUUUAUUUUAAUUAAUAGGUUAUAAAUAUAAUUAAAAUAAUUUUAAUAAGGUAAAAUUUUUUUAAAAAAAAAUUAUAGUAUAUAUCAUAGAUUAUAAUAUAUGAAGUUAAUAAAAUAAUAAAAAACUAGGAUUAGAUACCCUAUUAUUAUAUGUAAAUAAUAAUUAUAAUAGGUAGUAAAAAUUAUUUAUUUAAAACUUAAAAAAGUUGGCAGUAUUUAAAUCUAUUUAGAGGAAUUUGUUUAGUAAUUGAUAAUCCACGAAUAAUUUUAUUUAAUUUAUUUAAUUUGUAUAUCGUUGUUAUAAAAAUUUAUUAAAAAAUUUAAAAUUUAAAAUUUUUAAUUGAAAAUUAUAUCAAAUCAUGAUGCAGUUUAUAAUUAAAUUUUAAUGAAUUAUAAUAAAUAAAUUUUUGAAUUAUAAUUUGUAAUUUUAUAUGAAAUUAGAUUUAAAAGUAAUUUUUUUUAGUUUAUAAAAAUGAUUAAGUUUUUAAAUAUGUACAUAUUGCCCGUCACUUUCAUUAUAAUUGAAAUAAGUCGUAACAAAGUAGAAUUACUGGAAAGUGUUUCUAGAAUUAA